CAGCACCUCAAGUGGUCAGGAUGAUUAUUGGGCCUAAAGCAUCCGUAGCCUGCUUUGUUAGUUUUCGGUUAAAUCCAUACGCUCAACGUAUGGGCUGCCGGGAAUACUGCAAAGCUAGGGAGUGGGAGAGGUAGACGGUACUCGGUAGGAAGGGGUAAAAUCCUUUGAUCUAUUGAUGACCACCUGUGGCGAAGGCGGUCUACCAGAACACGUCCGACGGCGAGGGAUGAAAGCUGGGGGAGCAAACCGGAUUAGAUACCCGAGUAGUCC
Molecule: ribosomal RNA, 270 nt
Filed under: uncultured archaeon
Lineage: Archaea
Description: partial 16S ribosomal RNA
Rfam family: Archaeal small subunit ribosomal RNA
Source: RNAcentral